GAUGAACGCUGGCGGCGUGCCUAAUACAUGCAAGUCGAGCGAACGGACGAGAAGCUUGCUUCUCUGAUGUUAGCGGCGGACAGGUGAGUAACACGUGGAUAACCUACCUAUAAGACUGGGAUAACUUCGGGAAACCGGAGCUAAUACCGGAUAAUAUUUUGAACCGCAUGGUUCAAUAGUAAAAGACGGUCUUGCUGUCACUUAUAGAUGGAUCCGCGCUGCAUUAGCUAGUUGGUAAGGUAACGGCUUACCAAGGCAACGAUGCAUAGCCGACCUGAGAGGGUGAUCGGCCACACUGGAACUGAGACACGGUCCAGACUCCUACGGGAGGCAGCAGUAGGGAAUCUUCCGCAAUGGGCGAAAGCCUGACGGAGCAACGCCGCGUGAGUGAUGAAGGUCUUCGGAUCGUAAAACUCUGUUAUUAGGGAAGAACAUAUGUGUAAGUAACUGUGCACAUCUUGACGGUACCUAAUCAGAAAGCCACGGCUAACUACGUG
RNAcentral lists this ribosomal RNA (497 nucleotides) under uncultured bacterium. Its description in RNAcentral is "partial 16S ribosomal RNA". It matches the Rfam family "Bacterial small subunit ribosomal RNA", at positions 28 to 507 of the family's 1533-position model. The record is from RNAcentral.